Long non-coding RNA from Zea mays, 395 nucleotides. RefSeq lists it as uncharacterized. The record is from RefSeq and is a predicted model, not a curated record. The transcript is spliced from 3 exons. NCBI's taxonomy places the organism in Eukaryota, Viridiplantae, Streptophyta, Magnoliopsida, Poales, Poaceae.
AAAAUAUAAGAUUGCUUACAGCAAGAAACGUUCUGGAUGGGCGGAGGAUAUCUUUAAGUGGGAACAUACAAUUCAGAUUGGUGUUCCAAUUGACUUAAGAGGGUUUAAUACCAGCUACCUCGUUCUACAAGCUAUGGCCAUGUGGGGGAAUGACAGACGACUGAAAUUUGUUGGGGAUGCAAAGACUCUUCGAAAGAACUUUGUGAUUGAUCUGUUAAUUUAUGAGGAUAAUUCGUGCCGAUAUGCCAUCCCUGCAAAUAUACAACAGAGACUUAUCGAUAUCACUAAAAAGGAUUAGCUGAUUAGUGUACGGUUGUCGACACAUUUGUUUGUAAUUAAAAAUUCUAAAUUAACUUUUUAGAAAUAAUUUGUGUGACAUUGAUAAUGUUUUCCAC